GAUGAACGCUGGCGGCGUGCCUAAUACAUGCAAGUCGAGCGAACGGACGAGAAGCUUGCUUCUCUGUUGUUAGCGGCGGACGGGUGAGUCACACGUGGCUAACCUACCUAUAAGACUGGGAUCACUUCGGGAAACCGGAGCUCAUACCGGAUAAUAUUUUGAACCGCAUGGUUCAAAAGUGAAAGAUGGUCUUGCUGUCACUUAUAGAUGGAUCCGCGCUGCAUUAGCUAGUUGGUAAGGUAACGGCUUACCAAGGCAACGAUGCAUAGCCGACCUGAGAGCGUGAUCGGCCACACUGGAACUGAGAGGCGGUCCAGACUCCUACGGGAGGCAGCAGUAGGGAAUCUUCCGCAAUGGGCGAAAUCCUGACGGAGCAACGCCGCGUGAGUGAUGAAGGUCUUCGGAUCGUAAAACUCUGUUAUUAGGGAAGAACAUAUGUGUAAGUAACUGUGCACAUCUUGACGGUACCUAAUCAGAAAGCCACGGCUAACUACGUG
This 497-nucleotide ribosomal RNA is filed under the name uncultured bacterium. RNAcentral describes it as "partial 16S ribosomal RNA". It matches the Rfam family "Bacterial small subunit ribosomal RNA", at positions 28 to 507 of the family's 1533-position model. The record is from RNAcentral.